GACGAACGCUGGCGGCGUGCCUAAUACAUGCAAGUUGAGCGCUGAAGGUUGGUACUUGUACCAACUGGAUGAGCAGCGAACGGGUGAGUAACGCGUGGGGAAUCUGCCUUUGAGCGGGGGACAACAUUUGGAAACGAAUGCUAAUACCGCAUAAAAACUUUAAACACAAGUUUUAAGUUUGAAAGAUGCAAUUGCAUCACUCAAAGAUGAUCCCGCGUUGUAUUAGCUAGUUGGUGAGGUAAAGGCUCACCAAGGCGAUGAUACAUAGCCGACCUGAGAGGGUGAUCGGCCACAUUGGGACUGAGACACGGCCCAAACUCCUACGGGAGGCAGCAGUAGGGAAUCUUCGGCAAUGGACGAAAGUCUGACCGAGCAACGCCGCGUGAGUGAAGAAGGUUGUCGGAUCGUAAAACUCGGUUGGUAGAGAAGAACGUUGGUGAGAGUGGAAAGCUCAUCAAGUGACGGUAACUACACAGAAAGGGACGGCUAACUACGUG
This 497-nucleotide ribosomal RNA is filed under the name uncultured bacterium. Its description in RNAcentral is "partial 16S ribosomal RNA". It matches the Rfam family "Bacterial small subunit ribosomal RNA", at positions 28 to 507 of the family's 1533-position model. The record is from RNAcentral.